AGCUCCAUCUCCCCACCCCCUGCACUCCCUCUGCUCCCCUCCCCUCCUCCGGCGCAGACCCUCCCCUCUCCCCUCCAGCCUGGACACGCCCGCCUCCCCUUGACUCCCCCCAGCUCUGGGCCCCCACCUCCCCUCCCCUCCAGCACAGUCACCCCCAUUUCUCUCCUAUCCGCCAUCCUGGUUCCUCCCUUCCCCCCACCUCCCAACUCUGUGCCCCGCCAACGUUUCCUAAAUGCCCUCUAUUCAGAUCCCCCCUCCGCCUCCCCUCUCCUCUCCUCCAUUCCUGCGUCCCCCUUCCCCCGCCGCGCCGCCUGGGCUGUCCGUGGACUUCUCCCACUCUCUCACUCUCUCACUCACUCUCUCUCUCUCUCUCUCUCUCUCACUCUCUCUCUCUCUCUCCCCCUCAUUUAUUUGGAACCGUUGGAUAAGAAGUGCUCGGGCUCUCGCUCAGACUUAGGGAGCUGCCUCGAGGUGAUGAAUGACACCCCCUGGCACCAGCUACCCUUCUCAGACCCCAGUCCAGCCCGCUCCCGACGUCGACUACGAUUCCGCUACCUCGGCUGGCAGCGAGGUUGGGGUGAGCCCCAGCUGCAGGCGCGUCUGGGCUGCGCCGCUGCAAACGAGUUGCGCACCUUGGGCGGCUCCGCACCUGCACCCGCACCCGCGGGGCUCAGCCCCGAAGGCUGCAGCUUCGGGGGAGGCGCGGUCGCCGAGGUCCAGCUGGUGGGGCGAGAGACGUCGCCCCUCGGAGGAUGCUCUCGGAACUUGGGAGAGGAAGGAGGGAAGAGAAGAGGGGAAAGGGGCCGUCGAUGUUUUUGAUGUCUGUGCUUUAAUGGAGGCCACCAAUAUUGAGAAGACGGGGUUGGCCGAGGCAGCCCGCACGCUGCUGCUUGCGAGCGCUCGAGUCAAAGCUAGGGCCAACCGCGGCUUGUCCGGGUGCCCUAAGGGGGCGGACACUUGGUUUAGCACCGGGACACAGAAUAGCCACCGGGGUAGGAAGAUGCGUUCACUUUGCUUACCUGUUGGCAAGAGGGACAUACAAAAAUAACGUAACGUGACAUCGUUGACAACGGUAGCUCUUUGAUUACACAAAAGCCAAUUUUACCUUCCCGCAAAAGCCAGUUGACGCCUUUGGAACUUUUAUUUGCGGCAUUUUGGCGCCCUCUGGCUGUGUUUGGAUCGCUUUCAUGCUCGCCUGCGUCCCAGCCAAGAAAAAAUCGAUGGAGCUGCAGGUUGUCCUCAGGAUGGUUCUGCCCUCAGGACCUGGGCGUGAAUUCAGGGACAGGGUGGCCCUCCAGAACCGGAGUGACAAACUGUAACCAUACUUAGGGAGGCAGACGUCAAAGGCAAGUACAUCUGUAUUCAACUGGGUAAAGGAAGAGUUUUUCAGCCUGGCGUGGUGGCUCACACCUGUAAUCCCAGCACUUUGGGAGGCCAAGGUGAGUGAAUCUCCUGAGUUCAGGAGUUCAAGGCCAGCCUGGACAACAUGGUGAAACCGUCUCUACCCAAAAUACAAAAAAUUAGCCCAGCAUGGUGGUGUGUGCCUGAGGUCCCAGCUACUCGGGAAGCUGAAGUGGGAGGAUUGCUCAAGCCUGGGAGGUGGAGGUUGCAGUGAGUCGAGGUCGUGCCACUGCACUCCAACCUGGGUGACAGAGUGAGACUCCAUCUAAAAAAAAAAUAGUUUUUCUACUUCUCUCUCCAGUGCUGUACACAGUAGGUGCUCAAUAUUUCUUUGUUGAGUGAGUGAAGGGGCAAAUGAAGACUGUGGUGAGAGGUGGGCCCUGGGACCCUCUGCCAUGUAGAUUUGUUCUUCCUUCCUCUUAGAUGACCCCAUUCAUCGUGCCAUUGCAGCCUAGGCCCUACUUAAUCCUGGGAUGUGGACUCGAGGUGAGCAUGCUCUUUGGGGAUCCACAGGCUCAAUGCUUAUUGAAGCACAGAUGGCUGGGCCAGCGGUGUGCUGGAGCCAGCUCCUCCUCUCAGCUCAGGAGAGCUUCUUGUGCACACCUCUUCCCAACUCCGCAGUCAAUAACAGCAGGUUCAUAUCUUACAAUCAGUCAUAGUGUAAGAAUUUAAACCACUGGAAUCAGCAACUUGAGGGUUUGUGUUUUCUGGAGAGCUGGUUGUUAAAUCUUUACUGGCACAUCACCUGCUACUUCCUAUCCCUAGAGUCCCUGAUUCAGUAACUCUUGGACGGGACCUGAUGAUUUACAUUUCUAACAAGUUCCCAGGGAAUGCUGAUUCUGCUAGUCCAGAAAGGACACUUUAAGAAACACUUGGAAGACGUGAAAUCUGUUGUCUGAUUUCAGGGCUCUCUGAUUUCAGACAACACACAACAGAUUCUUUCCUCCCGCCAAAAGCAUAAGUCAUCAUUGACAAGAGGAAUGCUAGCACUUUCAUCUAAGAAUGUUGACUGUAGAUGACCCUAUAUCAAAUCAAUACUAAUAAGAGCUAAUGUUUACAGAAUAUUGACUGUACACCAGCUGCUUACUGUCCUGCUCAUUUCAUGCAUUAAUUCAUUUAAUCCAAGAACCAUAGACAGCAGGUUCUACUAGUACAGUUGGGGCUGAAGCACAGACCAGUCAAAUAACUUGCCCAAGAUUAUACGGGGAGUAAGCGGAGUUGUGAAGAUGUGAAUAUGAGCAAUCUGGCUCCAGAGCCCAUGGAUUUAACUGCUGCACCACAAAUCACAGGAGACCUGACUGUAGUUCUGCCAAAUAUAAAAAUCUAGUAACCGUUCCCUUAAAAGAAGACUAAGAACUUCAAAGAAAACACACAAAAAGGAGAAUUUAAAUUUCCAAGUCUCUCCCAACUGGACUUCCAAGACGUAAAAGAAAAUGGAUAAAGAAGUUUUCAAUCUUCUCAUUGUCCUUCAGCAUCAUCAACAUGCAGGAGACCACACCAUCAGUUGAUGAGAAAGCCAGUCUCCUAGUCAGAGGCAUUGGCCUUAUUCAGCUGUGGGCUGUAACUUGAUGACCUGUCCUGGAUUCAUCUAGAAGUUGCUCCUUAUUUCUAAAUAACCAGCAGAAACUAUACCUCCAUUAAAUGUAGGUAGAACUUUACAACAAAUACAUAAAUAAACACCCAGCCGGGAGCGGUGGCUCACCCCUGUAAUCCCAGCACUUUGGGAUGCCGAGGUGGGUGGAUCACCUGAGGUCAGGAAUUUGAGACCAGCCUGGCCAACACGGUGAAGCCCGUCUCUACUAAAAAUACAAAAAUUAGCCUGGUGUGCUGGCGUGUGCCUGUAAUCCCAGCUACUUGGGAGGCUGAGGCAGGAGAGUCACUGGAACCCAGAAGGCGGAGGCUGCAGUGAGCCGAGAUCGUGCCACUGCACUCCAGUCUGGGCGACAGAGUGAGACUUCGUCUCAGAAAAAAAAAAAACCACACCCAUAUAUCUAGGUAAUCACUUAACAGAUACCAGUGGGAACCUCCCCAGAAGACAGUCCAUCUCUGUGGUUCUAAUCUGGGGACAGAAGGUCUUUCUUGGCUUUAGGUUAUGAUAGGAGGCUCAGUUGGCUGGGGAAUCACACUACUGAGGAAAAUGUCCACAGAUCCAAAGCUUAGCUUAGCUUGAGUCCUGUUGGCUAAAAAGGAAACAAUGCAAGCAGAAAAGUCUCAUAUCAUUUGAUCACCUCAAAUACACAUUAACAAGCCCAGAACCCAGUCAGAGUGGAGCUUAGAAAUCAGCAGUGUCAUCUUUCUUCUUAAAAUGUUGAUUCAUUUUAUUUUAUAAACCAACAUGAUGCCAAGGAAAGUGAUGACGGUCCGGUCUGUAAGGGAUGUUUAAACAACGUGUCCCAGAUCCAUCUUCUCCUUAAUAUUGAGAUUGGCGCCAUCUUGGUAAAUGCUCCAUAACUUUUCUCCUAGGCCCUAGUCUGUUCUCCCUGCCUCUAGGCUUUCACUUCUCCUGAUUACCUUUCUGAAUGUACAUCCCUGAUCCUUCUGAAUUCACGAUCAAUCCUCUCUGGAUUACUACUGCAUAUUGACUUAAGGUCAAACUCCCCAGCUUGGCAUUCAAGAAUUGAUAUGACCUAGCUUCUUUUUCUCUCUCCCAUUUUACCUCAAAACUAUCUUAAUUUCUAUGCCUAGAAAAUCAUGUCUUGGCCUAGCAAGGUGGCUCACGCCUACAAUCCCAGCACUUUGGGAGGCCGAGGCAGGCAGAUCACUUGAGGUCAGGAGUUCAAGACCAGCCUGGCCAACAUGGUGAAACUCCGUCUCUACUAAAAAUACAAAAAUUAGCCAGGCACAGUGGCAAGAACCUGUAACCCCAGCUACUUGGGAGGCUGAGGCAGGAGAAUCACUUGAACCUGGGAGGCGGAGGUUGCACUGAGUGGAGAUUACACCACUGCAUUCCAGCCUGGGCAACAAGGUGAGAGACUCUGUCUCAAAAAAAAAAAAAAAAGAAGGAAAAAGAAAAAAUCAUGUCUUGCCUAAGGAAGUUCCAAAGGCAUAGUCAAGUGAGACAAGUGUUUUAACUAGAGCAGCAAGACCCACAUAAAUAACCUUCGGAGAAUCAUAUUCAUAGCAAAGGAAAAGACAAAGCUGUAGGCAGCAAGAUAAACUAGAAAUCAAAGGAAUAGUCUGGGACAAAGUUUCAGAAAUAGAACAGCAUUAUGUGACAUUUCCCAUUUUCUAUGGUAGUUGGUACAUGAUGUCUGGACAAAUCUGGAACCUUAAAAGAACUGCGGGGCUGACACCCUAGGUCAACGCUUUUCAAACUUCCCUUUCUCUUAGAAAGUGAGUUUUAACUUUAAUAGGCUUCACCCCAGACCCAGAAAAGAUAUCAGGAAAUCUGAAUUUUUUUUUUUUUUGGAGAUACAGUCUCACUCUGUCGCCCAGGCUGGAGUACAGUGGCGCAAUCUCAGUUCGCUGCAACCUCUGCCUCCAGGGUUCAAGCGAUUCUCCUGCCUCAGCCUCCCGAGUACCUGGGACUACAGGCGCCCAUUACCAAGACUGCCUAAUUUUUAUAUAUUUGGUAGAGACGGGGUUUCACCAUGUUGGCCAGGCUGGUCUUGAACUCUUGACCUCAGGUGAUCCACCCGCCUCGGCCUCCCAAAGUGCUGGCAUUACAGGCAUAAGCCAUGACACCCGGCCAGGAAAUCUGAAUUUCAAUAAAUGCUUCAGGUAAUUCUAACGAUUGCUCAAGUUUGGGAAAAUUCUGACUUCACAUUAAAAUCACCAG
Molecule: long non-coding RNA, 5179 nt
Filed under: Homo sapiens (human)
Lineage: Eukaryota; Metazoa; Chordata; Mammalia; Primates; Hominidae
Description: non-protein coding BASP1-AS1:20
Source: RNAcentral